UCCACCCACUCCAACUUCUCAGGCUAAGGAUUCCAGCUCUCAUGGGUUUCUGCAGCCUGAGAAAGCAAUCUUGAACUCAAAAAAAAGGAAAACUACACUUGCUUCCUGUUUCCUGGGGUCAGAGGUAGAAGAGUUUGGCUAUCAGGAUAUGAGGUGCCUGCAGGUGCCAGAAGGGGGCGCCGUAUCCCCUGGAGCUGAAAGUAUAGGCCGUGAACUGUCUGACUUUGAAGAACUGAGCUGGGGUCCCCUGCAGGAGCAGGAAGACAUUAACUGCCGAGUUCUCUCUCCAGCCUGCAGCAGCGCUGCAGUGUUACUCUCAUUGUUUUUAUUUUUCUGGUGAAGGAAGAGCUGCAAGUAUUGGUUUAAAGUUAAGAAGUUGUUGGGGCACUGUCUCUUGCCUUCUUUCCCGCUCUGAUGAAGCCAGGUGCCAUGUUGUACAUCUUUUACAGAACAGUUCCCGUGGCUAAGAAGACAUCAGGCUCAUAGCACUUGAGGUACAGUGUCACACAACAGAGAGAAAUGCUCAUUUCUUGUGGAGAAAAAAUACUUUGGUCUGAAUAUGGUGAUGCCUCUUUUGUAGGAUAAAUGAAGGAGAACCAUGUUCUCAGUAGGAUGUGGGGGUAUAAAGGUGUCUUAUGAUGGAUGUUCCAGCUGGGCCAACCUGGAGUCUUCUUUUUAGUUGGGUUAAGAAAAAAAAAUGACUCUAAGGAAGAAACUUAUCUGUCCUCAAGAUACAACUUAAAGCUGCUCUUACAGGAGCCGCAGAGAGGCUGUUUUUUGCUGUUCUCGCAAAGGUUCUGAGUUUAGGUUCCAGAACAUAAGUGGGCCGCUCACAAUCCUCUGUAACUCUUGUGUUAGGGGAUCCAAUGUCUUCUGCUGGCCUUCAUGAGCAAGUGCGUGUGCACAACUCACAAGCUGACACAUACAUACACGUGUAGUUAAAAAUAAAAACAAAAUCUUAAAAAG
This is a long non-coding RNA of Meriones unguiculatus (Mongolian gerbil), 966 nucleotides long. RefSeq lists it as uncharacterized. The record is from RefSeq and is a predicted model, not a curated record. Lineage: Eukaryota; Metazoa; Chordata; Mammalia; Rodentia; Muridae. The transcript has 5 exons.